This 460-nucleotide ribosomal RNA is filed under the name uncultured bacterium. Its description in RNAcentral is "partial 16S ribosomal RNA". It matches the Rfam family "Bacterial small subunit ribosomal RNA", at positions 338 to 795 of the family's 1533-position model. The record is from RNAcentral.
CCUACGGGGGGCAGCAGUGAGGAAUAUUGGUCAAUGGGCGCGAGCCUGAACCAGCCAAGUAGCGUGAAGGAUGACUGCCCUACGGGUUGUAAACUUCUUUUAUAAAGGGAUAAAGUGAGGCACGUGUGCCUUUUUGUAUGUACUUUAUGAAUAAGGAUCGCCUAACUCCGUGCCAGCAGCCGCGGUAAUACGGAGGAUCCGAGCGUUAUCCGGAUUUAUUGGGUUUAAAGGGAGCGUCGAUGGGUUGUUAAGUCAGUUGUGAAAGUUUGCGGCUCAACCGUAAAAUUGCAAUUGAUACUGGCAGCCUUGAGUACAGUUGAGGUAGGUGGAAUUCGUGGUGUAGCGGUGAAAUGCGUAGAGAUCACGAAGAACUCCGAUUGCGAAGGCAGCUUACUAAACUGCCACUGACAUUGAGGCUCGAAAGUGUGGGUAUCAAACAGGAUUAGAUACCCGAGUAGUC